Molecule: ribosomal RNA, 863 nt
Filed under: uncultured bacterium
Lineage: Bacteria
Description: bacterial SSU rRNA
Rfam family: Bacterial small subunit ribosomal RNA
Source: RNAcentral
UGGCUCAGGAUGAACGCUGGCGGCGUGCCUAAUACAUGCAAGUCGAACGGACGACUUCGGUCGUUAGUGGCGAACGGGUGAGUAACGCGUUGGUGACCUGCCCCGGAGUGUGGGAUAACAGGCCGAAAGGCUUGCUAAUACCACAUGCGCAAGUGGGAGUUAGAGACCCAUUUGUAAAGGGAGAAAUCCGCUCUGGGAGGGGCCUGCGACCCAUCAGCUAGUUGGUAAGGUAACGGCCUACCAAGGCGAUGACGGGUAGGGGACCUGAGAGGGUGGCCCCCCACAAUGGAACUGAAACACGGUCCAUACACCUACGGGUGGCAGCAGUAGGGGAUAUUGCUUAAUGGGCGAAAGCCUGAAGCAGCAACGCCGCGUGUGCGAUGAAGGCCUUCGGGUUGUAAAGCACUUUUAGCAGGGAAGAGGAAGGACGGUACCUGCUGAAUAAGCCUCGGCUAACUACGUGCCAGCAGCCGCGGUAAAACGUAGGAGGCGAGCGUUAUCCGGAUUUACUGGGUGUAAAGCGCGUGCAGGCGGUUUGCUAAGUUGGAUGUGAAAGCUCCCGGCUCAACUGGGAGAGGUCGUUCAAGACUGGCAGACUGGAGAGCAGUAGGGGAAGGUGGAAUUCCGGGUGUAGUGGUGAAAUGCGUAGAUAUCCGGAGGAACACCAGUGGCGAAGGCGGCCUUCUGGACUGCAUCUGACGCUCAGACGCGAAAGCUAGGGGAGCAAACGGGAUUAGAGACCCCGGUAGUCCUAGCCGUAAACGAUGUGAACUUGGCGCCGGUUGGGUAAAACCGAUCGGUGCCGGAGCUAACGCGAUAAGUUCACCACCUGGGGACUACGGCCGCAAAGGUAAAAACUCAAU